AUUGAUGCACGAUAUUUUUUG
RNAcentral lists this non-coding RNA (21 nucleotides) under Caenorhabditis elegans. The record is from RNAcentral. Lineage: Eukaryota; Metazoa; Nematoda; Chromadorea; Rhabditida; Rhabditidae.